UACGAAGGUGGCAAGCGUUACUCGGAAUUACUAGGCGUAAAGGGCAGGUAGGUGGUUUGAUAAGUCUGUUGUGUAAGCUCCCGGCUUAACUGGGAGAGGUCAACAGAAACUACCAGGCUUGAGUAUAGGAGAGGGUACUGGAAUUCCCGGUGUAGCGGUGAAAUGCGCAGAGAUCGGGAGGAACACCAAUGGCGAAAGCAGGUACCUGGACUAUUACUGACACUCAGCUGCGAAAGCUAGGGGAGCAAACAGGAUUAGAAACCCCGGUAGUCC
Molecule: ribosomal RNA, 273 nt
Filed under: uncultured bacterium
Lineage: Bacteria
Description: partial 16S ribosomal RNA
Rfam family: Bacterial small subunit ribosomal RNA
Source: RNAcentral